AAGACAGAAGAAUUAAUUUGUUUACACAGGAAAUUACUUCUUUAUUUUUAAUCUUCUAAUCACCAGUAUUUUUAAUUUAAUGCACAAUACUGAAACUUGUGAAGUCACAGCAGACAGUAGCAAUACAGUAAAAUGUGAACUAUAGGGAUAUAGAAGUAUAAUAGGAUUUGCUAUGCAGGAGUACACUCCUUGUGUUUUCCUGUGCAUUACACUUUUAUUAGUCUCUGUGUUCCAGUACAAUACAUGUACUGUAUGCAUGUAAUACAUGUAGAGACAUAAGCACUGAACACCCUCUGACAGACAGGGAUGUGUGCCACGCCCCGCCACACACAGUGAUGAUCACCCAAAAGUCAGCAGUUUGAUGCCUCUUCCAGCACAGCGAGUGGUACGACACAGCUCUGUGGCUAAGCCAGCAUGAGGCAGAGACACACUGUGCAGGUUUCAUCCCUUAGCUUAGAGUCUGAUCCCGAGCUUAUACUCCAGUGAGUGGCAGCCACCACCAUUCAGAAGCUCUCUCCUUGGGGCAUAAUGCAUGGAAAAAACAGGCUUAGGGGCACAUCAAUUCCACAGGCUUAACCGAACGACGGGUGGUGAGUGCGUGAGUGUGUGUUUGUGUAUUCUUCAGAUGCAUUUUCAUACAGUGCUUCUGUUUCUAGACAGAGUGCGACAUUGAAAAUGGUGUGUGUGUGUGUGUGUGUGUGUGUGUGUGUGUGUGUGUGUGUGUGUGGGUCUUUGUCACAUGUUAAAUGCUGUCAUAAUGAGCGUAUUGAGCCAAAUGUCAAAUAAAAGGAGAGGGAUUUAAGGGGAUUCGAGCCUUUAUUAAACAUUCAUAUUGUUUCCCCACAUCUGACAACUGAGACAAAGUGUUAAAUACAAAUGGAUUUCCAUAUCCCCAAAUAAAUAUCACAGACUCAUGAUUAAACGUGAUAAUGACAUCAGAUGGAAUGUGCUGUAUUUAACUUGUGUUUUGUCUCCUCAGACGAGUCCUUCGACAGCAGUUAUUAAAAGAUAGUUUAGACUAGUCAAAG
Thunnus maccoyii (southern bluefin tuna) is the source of this 1028-nucleotide long non-coding RNA. RefSeq lists it as uncharacterized. NCBI's taxonomy places the organism in Eukaryota, Metazoa, Chordata, Actinopteri, Scombriformes, Scombridae. The record is from RefSeq and is a predicted model, not a curated record. The transcript is spliced from 3 exons.